GAUGAAGAACGUAGCGAAAUGCGAUAAGUAAUGCGAAUUGCAGAAUUCAGUGAAUCAUCGAAUCUUUGAACGCACCUUGCGCUCCUUGGUAUUCCGAGGAGCAUGCCUGUUUGAGUGUCAUGAAUCUCUCAAACUCUUAGUUUCAUUACUGAGUGUUUGGAUUUGGAGGUCUAUGCUGGCGCAAGUCAGCUCCUCUUAAAUACAUUAGCUUGGGUCUUGCAUGUCUGGAUCCUUGGUGUGAUAAUUAUCUACGCCAUGAUGUCCCUUCAAGCCCUGCUUCUAAUCGUCUGAAUAAGACAAUUUAUUACUUGACAUCUGACCUCAAAUCAGGUAGGACUACCCGCUGAACUUAAGCAUAUCAAUAAGCGGAGGA
RNAcentral lists this unclassified non-coding RNA (373 nucleotides) under soil metagenome. RNAcentral describes it as "partial contains 5.8S ribosomal RNA, internal transcribed spacer 2, and large subunit ribosomal RNA". The stretch from base 1 to 120 matches the Rfam family "5.8S ribosomal RNA", at positions 35 to 154 of the family's 154-position model. The record is from RNAcentral.